UACGUAGGGUGCAAGCGUUAAUCGGAAUUACUGGGCGUAAAGCGUGCGCAGGCGGUUAUGUAAGACAGGUGUGAAAUCCCCGGGCUUAACCUGGGAACUGCAUUUGUGACUGCAUAGCUAGAGUACGGUAGAGGGGGAUGGAAUUCCGCGUGUAGCAGCGAAAUGCGUAGAUAUCAGGAGGAACACCGAUGGCGAAGGCAGGUCUCUGGGCUGACACUGACGCUCAUGCACGAAAGCGUGGGGAGCAAACAGG
RNAcentral lists this ribosomal RNA (253 nucleotides) under uncultured bacterium. RNAcentral describes it as "partial 16S ribosomal RNA". It matches the Rfam family "Bacterial small subunit ribosomal RNA", at positions 524 to 776 of the family's 1533-position model. The record is from RNAcentral.